UGUUUAGAGCUAGUGAUAAGUGUCAGAAGGAGAAGAGGAAGACGAUUAAUGGUGAUGAUUUGCUGUGAGUGAUGGUUUCCCUUCUCUCACUUUCUCACGAUUUCUUCUCCAAAGGGUAUUUGUCUGUGAGCCCAAGUUAGAGGUCAGUUUGUCACUCUGUGGUUUGUGAGGCUGCUCCAACCAAGAGGCUCAAUUAUGUCGAAAAGCAAGCUCUCCAAGCUGAGAAAAGGUGCAUUUACAACCAGUCCAAAAAGUCUGAGAUCAAAACCAGGUUAAAGAAGAGAAGAGGGGCUGGACAGAGGUCAACUAACAGGGCUGGUCACUUGGAUGUCGUUGAUUGCUUUCUUCGUUCCCGUGAUGUUUACCCACUCUCCAUUCAACUCUAGAUUUACCAUUUUCUCUCUACUCCACAUUUGUGAUCAAGGCUCGUCAUGGUUUCAAUGAGAUAGCAUUAGAGGGCAGAACUUCAAGUAGCAAUGAGUUAAAGGUUCUCAUUUUUGGUAGUCGAGAAUACAGGACAACUAAGAUGCUAAAGAAUUUGUUCAAGGAAUUUGCCAACCAUCAAUGCAGACUUUAUAAGAGGCCUGUUUUGAAACAAUAUGUAUUUGUAUCAACUUUUGAAAUCCCA
This is a long non-coding RNA of Rosa rugosa (rugosa rose), 628 nucleotides long. RefSeq lists it as uncharacterized. The transcript has 5 exons. The record is from RefSeq and is a predicted model, not a curated record. NCBI's taxonomy places the organism in Eukaryota, Viridiplantae, Streptophyta, Magnoliopsida, Rosales, Rosaceae.